RNAcentral lists this transfer RNA (73 nucleotides) under Gottschalkia acidurici 9a. RNAcentral's name for it is "[Clostridium] acidurici 9a tRNA". It matches the Rfam family "tRNA". From Rfam's summary of the family: Transfer RNA (tRNA) molecules are approximately 80 nucleotides in length. Their secondary structure includes four short double-helical elements and three loops (D, anti-codon, and T loops). The record is from Rfam by way of RNAcentral. Lineage: Bacteria; Bacillati; Bacillota; Tissierellia; Tissierellales; Gottschalkiaceae.
GCCCAUGUGGCUCAGUAGGUAGAGCACUUGCAUGGUAAGCAAGAGAUCAUCGGUUCGAUUCCGAUCAUGGGCU